UUUUCUCAAGUUUUGACCUCGGAUCAGAUAGGAUACCCGCUGAACUUAAGCAUAUAGAUAGGC
Molecule: ribosomal RNA, 63 nt
Filed under: ascomycete sp. ZGZII03106-11xi
Lineage: Eukaryota; Fungi; Ascomycota
Description: partial 28S ribosomal RNA
Source: RNAcentral